Molecule: ribosomal RNA, 253 nt
Filed under: uncultured bacterium
Lineage: Bacteria
Description: partial 16S ribosomal RNA
Rfam family: Bacterial small subunit ribosomal RNA
Source: RNAcentral
UACGUAGGUGGCAAGCGUUGUCCGGAUUUAUUGGGUUUAAAGGGUGCGUAGGUGGAUUAGUAAGUCAGUGGUGAAAUCUCUGGGCUUAACUCAGAAACUGCCAUUGAUACUAUUAAUCUUGAAUACCGUGGAGGUCAGCGGAAUAUGUCAUGUAGCGGUGAAAUGCUUAGAUAUGACAUAGAACACCAAUUGCGAAGGCAGCUGGCUACACGAAUAUUGACACUGAGGCACGAAAGCGUGGGGAUCAAACAGG